GACAGAGGCCUCGAGCGUUAGGCGGAAUCACUGGGCUUAAAGCGUGUGUAGGCGGAUCGUUAAGUACCUUGUGAAAUCCCACGGCUCAACCGUGGAACGGCUGGGUAUACUGGCGGUCUUGGGCCAUUCAGGGGCGACUGGAACGAGCGGUGGAGCGGUGAAAUGCGUAGAUAUCGCUUGGAACGCCGAAGGUGAAAACAGGUCGCUGGGGAUGUGCCGACGCUGAGACACGAAAGCCAGGGGAGCAAACGGG
Molecule: ribosomal RNA, 253 nt
Filed under: uncultured bacterium
Lineage: Bacteria
Description: partial 16S ribosomal RNA
Rfam family: Bacterial small subunit ribosomal RNA
Source: RNAcentral